This 956-nucleotide small RNA is filed under the name Penicillium rubens. RNAcentral describes it as "eukaryotic LSU rRNA". The stretch from base 534 to 956 matches the Rfam family "Eukaryotic large subunit ribosomal RNA", at positions 1 to 420 of the family's 3401-position model. The record is from RNAcentral. Lineage: Eukaryota; Fungi; Ascomycota; Eurotiomycetes; Eurotiales; Aspergillaceae.
AGGUUUCCGUAGGUGAACCUGCGGAAGGAUCAUUACCGAGUGAGGGCCCUCUGGGUCCAACCUCCCACCCGUGUUUAUUUUACCUUGUUGCUUCGGCGGGCCCGCCUUAACUGGCCGCCGGGGGGCUUACGCCCCCGGGCCCGCGCCCGCCGAAGACACCCUCGAACUCUGUCUGAAGAUUGUAGUCUGAGUGAAAAUAUAAAUUAUUUAAAACUUUCAACAACGGAUCUCUUGGUUCCGGCAUCGAUGAAGAACGCAGCGAAAUGCGAUACGUAAUGUGAAUUGCAAAUUCAGUGAAUCAUCGAGUCUUUGAACGCACAUUGCGCCCCCUGGUAUUCCGGGGGGCAUGCCUGUCCGAGCGUCAUUUCUGCCCUCAAGCACGGCUUGUGUGUUGGGCCCCGUCCUCCGAUCCCGGGGGACGGGCCCGAAAGGCAGCGGCGGCACCGCGUCCGGUCCUCGAGCGUAUGGGGCUUUGUCACCCGCUCUGUAGGCCCGGCCGGCGCUUGCCGAUCAACCCAAAUUUUUAUCCAGGUUGACCUCGGAUCAGGUAGGGAUACCCGCUGAACUUAAGCAUAUCAAUAAGCGGAGGAAAAGAAACCAACAGGGAUUGCCCCAGUAACGGCGAGUGAAGCGGCAAGAGCUCAAAUUUGAAAGCUGGCUCCUUCGGGGUCCGCAUUGUAAUUUGUAGAGGAUGCUUCGGGAGCGGUCCCCAUCUAAGUGCCCUGGAACGGGACGUCAUAGAGGGUGAGAAUCCCGUAUGGGAUGGGGUGUCCGCGCCCGUGUGAAGCUCCUUCGACGAGUCGAGUUGUUUGGGAAUGCAGCUCUAAAUGGGUGGUAAAUUUCAUCUAAAGCUAAAUAUUGGCCGGAGACCGAUAGCGCACAAGUAGAGUGAUCGAAAGAUGAAAAGCACUUUGAAAAGAGAGUUAAAAAGCACGUGAAAUUGUUGAAAGGGAAGC